GACGUAGGGCGCGAGCGUUGUCCGGAUUUAUUGGGCGUAAAGAGCUCGUAGGCGGUUUGACAAGUCUGAUGUGAAAUCUCUGGGCUCAACCCAGAGUCUGCAUUAGAAACUGUCGGGCUUGAGUAUGGGAGAGGUGAGUGGAAUUUCCGGUGUAGCGGUGAAAUGCGUAGAUAUCGGAAGGAACACCUGUGGCGAAGGCGGGUCUCUGGACAGUUCCUGACGCUGAGGCACGAAGGUCAGGGGAGCAAACGGG
This 253-nucleotide ribosomal RNA is filed under the name uncultured bacterium. RNAcentral describes it as "partial 16S ribosomal RNA". It matches the Rfam family "Bacterial small subunit ribosomal RNA", at positions 524 to 776 of the family's 1533-position model. The record is from RNAcentral.